GAAUAUUGGACAAUGGGCGCAAGCCUGAUCCAGCAAUGCCGCGUGUGUGAAGAAGGCCUUCGGGUUGUAAAGCACUUUAAGUUGGGAGGAAAAGCUUGGGGUUAAUAGCCUUAAGUGUUGACGUUACCAACAGAAUAAGCACCGGCUAACUCCGUUCCAGCAGCCGCGGUAAUACGGAGGGUGCAAGCGUUAAUCGGAAUUACUGGGCGUAAAGCGCGCGUAGGCGGUUUGUUAAGUCAGAUGUGAAAUCCCCGGGCUCAACCUGGGAAUGGCAUUUGAGACUGGCAGGCUAGAGUAUGGUAGAGGUGAGUGGAAUUUCAGGUGUAGCGGUGAAAUGCGUAGAGAUCUGAAGGAACAUCAGUGGCGAAGGCGACUCACUGGGCCAUUACUGACGCUGAGGUGCGAAAGCGUGGGUAGCAAACAGG
This 425-nucleotide ribosomal RNA is filed under the name uncultured bacterium. RNAcentral describes it as "bacterial SSU rRNA". It matches the Rfam family "Bacterial small subunit ribosomal RNA", at positions 359 to 776 of the family's 1533-position model. The record is from RNAcentral.